CAGGGAUCUGCACUGGAACCCUUCUGUUUGCAGGACAAAUAUAUAUUUGAUGAAGAUGUGUUGAAAAUGUUUGCAGUUACUGAUCUGCUGAACGAAAAUGACCACUUUUAAACUGAUGAUUGGACUAGAGACCUUUGAGAAAACUUGAAAAUAUUCAUUAAGUUCUCAACAAAAGAAAUUAACUAGUUCUGCUGGUUCUAAAUCCGUGGAAAAUAUUUGAGAAUGUUGUGGUCUUAAAGGUGAAAGGGCUAAGUGAUCGUAAGUGAUCAGGUUUUUUUGUUCAAAAGAGCUUGAUUCAAACAUUUCGAACCCAUACAUUGUCAUUCUGCAGUAUUUCAAACGUGUAAAACAAGUCGCUUUCUUCAUUUAUAAAAUAAAUAAA
Long non-coding RNA from Hemiscyllium ocellatum (epaulette shark), 382 nucleotides. RefSeq lists it as uncharacterized. The transcript has 3 exons. Lineage: Eukaryota; Metazoa; Chordata; Chondrichthyes; Orectolobiformes; Hemiscylliidae. The record is from RefSeq and is a predicted model, not a curated record.